GAUGAACGCUGGCGGCGUGCCUAAUACAUGCAAGUCGAGCGAACGGACGAGAAGCUUGCUUCUCUGAUGUUAGCGGCGGACGGGUGAGUAACACGUGGAUAACCUACCUAUAAGACUGGGAUAACUUCGGGAAACCGGAGCUAAUACCGGAAAUAUUUUGAACCGCAUGGUUCAAAAGUGAAAGACGGUCUUGCUGUCACUUAUAGAUGGAUCCGCGCUGCAUUAGCUAGUUGGUAAGGUAACGGCUUACCAAGGCAACGAUGCAUAGCCGACCUGAGAGGGUGAUCGGCCACACUGGAACUGAGACACGGUCCAGACUCCUACGGGAGGCAGCAGUAGGGAAUCUUCCGCAAUGGGCGAAAGCCUGACGGAGCAACGCCGCGUGAGUGAUGAAGGUCUUCGGAUCGUAAAACUCUGUUAUUAGGGAAGAACAUAUGUGUAAGUAACUGUGCACAUCUUGACGGUACCUAAUCAGAAAGCCACGGCUAACUACGUG
Molecule: ribosomal RNA, 496 nt
Filed under: uncultured bacterium
Lineage: Bacteria
Description: partial 16S ribosomal RNA
Rfam family: Bacterial small subunit ribosomal RNA
Source: RNAcentral